This 420-nucleotide ribosomal RNA is filed under the name uncultured prokaryote. Its description in RNAcentral is "bacterial SSU rRNA". It matches the Rfam family "Bacterial small subunit ribosomal RNA", at positions 355 to 774 of the family's 1533-position model. The record is from RNAcentral.
UCGAGAAUCUUCGGCAAUGAGCGAAAGCUUGACCGAGCGACGCCGCGUGCGGGAUGAAGGCCCUCGGGUUGUAAACCGCUGUCGUAGAGGAGGAAGGCUCUGUGCAGAGCAGGGUUUGACCUAUUCUAGGAGGAAGUCCGGGCUAAGUUCGUGCCAGCAGCCGCGGUAAGACGAACCGGACAAACGUUAUUCGGAAUCAUUGGGCUUAAAGGGUGCGUAGGCGGUGCUGUAAGUCGGGUGUGAAAUGCCUCAGCUCAACUGAGGAAGUGCGCCCGAUACUGCGGUGCUUGAGGGAGACAGAGGUAAGCGGAACUGAUGGUGGAGCGGUGAAAUGCGUUGAUAUCAUCAGGAACACCAGUGGCGAAAGCGGCUUACUGGGUCUCUUCUGACGCUGAGGCACGAAAGCUAGGGUAGCAAACG